RNAcentral lists this ribosomal RNA (440 nucleotides) under uncultured bacterium. RNAcentral's name for it is "partial 16S ribosomal RNA". It matches the Rfam family "Bacterial small subunit ribosomal RNA", at positions 338 to 795 of the family's 1533-position model. The record is from RNAcentral.
CCUACGGGAGGCAGCAGUGGGGAAUAUUGGGCAAUGGAGGAAACUCUGACCCAGCAACGCCGCGUGAAGGAUGAAGGUUUUCGGAUUGUAAACUUCUGUCGCGAGGGAUGAAGAAUGACGGUAGCUCGUAAGAAAGCCUCGGCAAACUACGUGCCAGCAGCCGCGGUAAUACGGAGGAUGCGAGCGUUAUCCGGAUGUAUUGGGUUUAAAGGGUGCGUAGGCGGAUUUUUAAGUCAGCGGUAAAAUGUCCGGGCUCAACCCGGGCCGGCCGUUGAAACUGGGGGUCUUGAGUAGGCGAGAAGUAUGCGGAAUGCGUGGUGUAGCGGUGAAAUGCAUAGAUAUCGCGCAGAACUCCGAUUGCGAAGGCAGCAUGCCGGCGCCAGACUGACGCUGAGGCACGAAAGCGUGGGGAUCGAACAGGAUUAGAUACCCGAGUAGUC